Molecule: long non-coding RNA, 404 nt
Filed under: Brassica napus (rape)
Lineage: Eukaryota; Viridiplantae; Streptophyta; Magnoliopsida; Brassicales; Brassicaceae
Description: long non-coding RNA (BNAP_LNC015748)
Source: RNAcentral
CCUCCGUAAAUACAAAUUACGAGUACGAAAGGAAAAUGGAGAUGACGUCGAUGGUUUAUGGUGUUUACACUUUUACGAGGGUACUGUUUAGAACUGGAGUUUGGUAGGUCAUCCACGUAACUAUUCACGUAACUCACGUUUUUACCGCAUACAUUUUCACUGUGCACAAUAAAUAAGUGGAUAUAAUAUGAUACUGUCACAUCACCUGCUGUAUUCCAUUUAUUUAUACCGUGAGUCUAUUUCCAUUUUAUAAACAAACACGCAGAACGAAAAAGAUAAUUACACGAAGAAAUUAAUGCUUACCGGAUUGCGCGCAUACUAUUAUAUAUUGGUUACGUGUGUACUGUUAUAUCUCGGUAACAUAGUACAUCAUCCAAACCUUCAAUGGGAACUAUACAUAUAAA